ACAUUAAUAUCAAUCUAAUGACAUUCCAUAGGAAUAAAAAUCCAAUGGGAUCCAGUUCUUAGCAGUCCCAGCCUAGUCAGAAGUACAAAGUCAAAUACCAUUUGCACAUCACCAAGAGGUACAAUCUGAUGAGUAACAGGAUAUCUGAUCUAAAAGCUUGCCAGGUUUCACAAGCUGUUUGAGUAUCACCAGGGCAGAUCAAGAAGAAAUAUGAAGGCCAGGUUCAUAACAAGCAGUUUCUUCAUUGCAAUUACAGAUUUAAAAACUUGAAUGA
This is a long non-coding RNA of Lytechinus variegatus (green sea urchin), 274 nucleotides long. RefSeq lists it as uncharacterized. NCBI's taxonomy places the organism in Eukaryota, Metazoa, Echinodermata, Echinoidea, Temnopleuroida, Toxopneustidae. The transcript has 3 exons. The record is from RefSeq and is a predicted model, not a curated record.